CACUAUCGGGACUUUGACAAGAACAGUGUCCAGGACAUCACAGGUGCCCUGUUCAAGCACAGCGAGAAGAGGUCUGGAGCCAGCAGCGACCUCAUCCCCCAGCAGAAGAUUGUCAACCUUGUCAAUGACAUCUUUGGAGCAGGGUUUGAUACAAUCACAACAGCCAUCUCCUGGAGCCUCAUGUACCUUGUGACCAAGCCUGAAAUACAGAGGAAGAUCCAGAAGG
Sapajus apella (tufted capuchin) is the source of this 226-nucleotide long non-coding RNA. RefSeq lists it as uncharacterized. The record is from RefSeq and is a predicted model, not a curated record. NCBI's taxonomy places the organism in Eukaryota, Metazoa, Chordata, Mammalia, Primates, Cebidae. The transcript is spliced from 3 exons.